UCCGCCUAACAUCCGCUUGGGCAGGUGGGC
RNAcentral lists this non-coding RNA (30 nucleotides) under Homo sapiens (human). The record is from RNAcentral. Lineage: Eukaryota; Metazoa; Chordata; Mammalia; Primates; Hominidae.